CGGAAUGAUCGGCCGGACAGAGGCUAGGGCUGCUUCCUUCCCACCGCGUCCUUCCUUGUGUGUCGGAGAUAUAAAGCGAGUGCACCGGAAAAGAACGGGAACUGGGUCAAUCUAUUCUAUGGCGAAGCAUCCGAAGCAUAACUGCACACUCACACGAUCUUUGCCGAGAGAUAGGAGCAUUCGGUGGAACCGGUGAACUACACUUGCUUCUGGAUAGAUGUGUGGGACAGAGGGCUCGUGGUACCUUCUGGCCACCCUUCCUCCUCUGCUUUGAGAACCGUGUGAACGGAGAGUGGGCAGAAGGGAAGGAGGUCC
Molecule: unclassified non-coding RNA, 315 nt
Filed under: Hevea brasiliensis (rubber tree)
Lineage: Eukaryota; Viridiplantae; Streptophyta; Magnoliopsida; Malpighiales; Euphorbiaceae
Source: RNAcentral